This is an RNA transcript of Topomyia yanbarensis, 5010 nucleotides long. RefSeq lists it as uncharacterized. The record is from RefSeq and is a predicted model, not a curated record. Lineage: Eukaryota; Metazoa; Arthropoda; Insecta; Diptera; Culicidae. The transcript is spliced from 6 exons.
CGUAAUCGCGCGCUCGUACAGGUGCCCACGUACAAGCAGGUUGCUGUGAUUCCGGUUUUCGAUCCGUUCGGAGAGGAAUUCAAGUGCGCGCCUACUAGUUUUUUUUAUAUCGGUAACAUAAUUUUACUUGCGCAACAGCUACCGCAACAUCGAUCCGGAAAUCCUAUAGGCAAAAAAUGAGCAUAAACUGAAGAAGCUUCAACCUGUUCGACGAAAACAAAAACAGACAAAGUUAGAAAGUGAAAUUUUUGUUUGCGGCUGUGCCGCCAGGCGAAGAACCAAAAAAUAAAAAAAAAACCUAAGAAGCGAUCUUCCCGAUUCCAGCCAAUUGUUUGGAGGUCGUGCGUUUGCAGGUGAUCGCGCGGAAGGUCCAACCGCUUAGCUGCUGCAGUGUACGGUUUGGCGCACGCCCUGUCCCUGUUAGUGUAAGAGUGUGUGCGUGUGUGUGUAUCUGUUCCGGCUGGGUGCAAGAAAAACAAACGAGAGUGUGGCAAAAGAAAGAAGCGGAAAAAGAAACAGCAAACAAAUAACAUUAAAAGUCAAGUGUGGUGCAGAAGCGGAUUUCGCUGCGGCAGCAAGAAAAAAGAAAAUCGAAUCAGCAUAAAUUUGCUGCGCACCCCCUCCCUCCCUCAUUCCUACUUGAACCGAGCCUGAUUCGAUCGGUUCCAGCUGUUGGAAGCAACAGAAACCGCGCGCUAGCGGUGAAGGUGUUUCUUUUCGUAAUCAUCAUCAUCGAUCGGGGUACCGUCAUCGAAACGUGUUGCAGCAUUCCAGUUGAUUUUUGUAGCACUGGAAAGUAAACAACGAACCGGUUGCUGCGACGUUGCAGCAGCAUAAAUACUUAAAUACAACGAGAGAAAAAAUCGAUCAAGAGACGAACUGUUUGUUUGUUUUGAAAUACACGUUCGAUAAAAAGAGAGACCAUCUUGAAAGAGAGUGAGAAAAAGUGGAGAAAGAUGGAUUCAAUGGCCUCGUUCCGACUGCAACCGCACAAGCUCACAUCCAUACAGAUAAGCGCCGAAACAACGGUCUAUGCCAGCCUUGAUUCGAGCCUCGCCGCGCUGCAGCGGCAAAAGUCCACAGCUGAGGAAGAUAGUGGUAACAGUAAAAGUCUCCCCCCUGGUGUGGAGUUGUUUCUCUCUGCUGCUGCCGCUGCCGUCUCCGCCGAUGGAAUCGAUGAUGGAGAGGUAGAAAAAGUAGUUAAGCCAGAGUUGAAGAAAGAAGAAAGAGCUGAACCGAUCUCGAACGACGAGUCUAGUUCGGCUCCAAGUCCAGAGGCUCACAGCGACGACGACGACGCCGACUACGACGGUAACCACAAAGACGAGGGGCAACUGGUUGUGGAUUCAUCCAGAUCAUCUGCUGGUGAAGUCGAAGCUAGUGCCGUUGCCCUUGCGAGCGGCAGUUUGCUGGAGACCGUCCAGAAGAAACCAUCUCCGCCGUUGCCCGUGAUCACAGAACAGGAAUCGCACGUCGUACGCAUUCAGAUCGUUCAAAAGGAGGACAAUAAUAAUAAUAUAUACAACAGUUUUGUUAAUCAUACCACCAGCUCCGGCCCUGCAGUGAUCAGUGUUACCAACAACGGCCAGGCUACUGUGGUGAACAAUAAACAGUGCAAAUCAAAAGUGUCGAUUGUGUCGUUUGGACCACCAGAUCAGGAAGUGUCGCUUAGUCCAACUCCUGCCGAGAUGGUCCAGAAGCAGGCCAGUCCAUCGGCCACUCCUACGGCGAAAGUUGGAGACUUGGACGUAAACAACGCGACCUAUCUGUACUACAUGAUGUCCUCGGGUCAGUGUUCACCGAGUGACACCCUGGACAGUGGCACGUGCAGUGACAUCGAGGUGACUCCACCUCCGUUGCCGAAAAAGAUAUCCAAAUCACCGCUGCCGGCCAAGCAACAGCAACAGCACGCGACCACGACGCUGAUGAUGAUAGGCAGCCGGUCACCGACGCCUGCUGAUAAGCCUAAUCAGGGCGGAUACCUGCAUCAGCGCGUCGGUAGCAGCAAUUACACCACCAGCGAUAGUGAUGAAUCGGAGUCCAGUCUGAGCUGUGACUCACUUAAUUUUGCUCAACUUUGCGGAAACAUUAGUGCGUUAAAACUUGAUUCGGCUGCUCCCGGUACCGAUCCGCAUUCUCCGGUUCCAUCCGAAAAUCACAGUGACAGUGAACGCGAUAAUGGGGACCUCGGGUCCGCUAUCAAGAAGCAUAAAAUAGUGUCGUUCCUUCCGGACUCGUUGCUGAAGGACAUUCGCGAGCGGUCCAGUGUUGCCGGAUCGGGCCGUGUCGCCGCGAGUGAGAACGUUUCGCCACCAGCACCGUGUUCGCUUUCGCCGUCGCCGCGUGACGAUAUCGUAACGACGACCCGGUCGAUUCUGAUGGAGAAGAUUAACAGUUUGAAUAGUGUCCACUCGGGUGGCUCGGACCGGGCUAGGGCUGGGGAUGGUGGCGAUAGUAUGUGUUCAUCGUCGGCUACGGCCACCGUAGGCGGCGCAACGGCCGUCGGUAGCAACAAGUCGUUCAGUUUCGAAAACGAUAAGUUCUAUAAGUUCCAUAUGAAUGAAAAUUCGAAUCUGCAGGAACGCGCUAAUGGGCGGGCCGCCAACAGCUGCUCCUCGUCGGUUAUCGACGACGACGAGAGCUUCGCCGGGUUCAAGGAUUUAACCAGCGGAACUUCGACGAUUCGGAGCAAUAAGGGCACGGUGCGUGGGGUGAAGAACCGGGUGCGCAACGGUAUUGCGACGUUUUUGCAGAUGCAGCAGGCUAACAUGAAGAACUACAAGGAAAAGGAUGCCGGCAAGGUGGUGGUAUACACGACCAGUAUGGGUAUCGUACGGGAAACCUACACCAAGUGUGCGAACGUGAAGCAGAUUCUGAGGACACUGUUGGUCAAGUUUGAGGAGCGGGACGUCUUUAUGAGCAGUGACUACCAGCAGGAGAUCAAGGACCGGAUGCAGAACGAAGCGAUCAAUGUGCCGCAGGUGUUCGUUGACGGGCAGCAUGUGGGGGACGCCGAUUGCAUCGAACGACUCAACGAAACCGGCGAGCUGCGAAAAAUGCUAAAACCAUACAAAUGCCUCGAAUCAUCCUUCACGUGCAAAACCUGCGGUGGCUAUCGGCUCCUACCGUGUCCGUCCUGCGGUGGUUCGAAAAAGUCAAUCCACCGCAAUCACUUCACGGCUGAAUUCAUCGCACUCAAGUGCAUGAACUGCGACGAAGUAGGCCUGGUCAAGUGUUACAGCUGUUGAUUGUUUGGACAAAAACUAGUACGCGUAUGAUGCUGCUUGUGUGAGUGGGGAUGUGCGACCAAACGAUGGGUAAUGAUUGUCGUCACUAGGUGCACAGUGAAAAAAAAGUAUCGCUUGGAUAAUGGGAUCGUAUUGAUUGCGGAAGCUUGAUCUGGUGCGUGUGAAAUGAUGACAAUACCACAUUCGGUAUUCCGUCUUGGAGUUAAUUUAGGCGAUAGCUCAUCACAUAGUUUUGACACUUGAGAGUGGUGUGUUUUGCUGGGUUGAAUUUUAACAUCAGUAUUUAAUUGCUGCAUUUUAAAAUAAGGUUUUCGGCUACCAGAUUGGUCAUAUUCUAAUCUUCGAAAAAUUUCGAAAUCGUUUACCGAAAGAUUCCCACUGAAACAAAACCGAAUUCAGGCCUCGCCCUUCUUAGUGAGGUUGGAAUCCGCUAAACUGACUGGGGUUCAAUUUGUACUAGCGCAAUCCGAGUUAAACCAGUCGGAAUGUGAUUUGCAAUUGGGUUAUUAACCCAAACUAGGCCCUUUUCUUUUUGCUGGUUUAACUGUGAAAGAUGCUAACCCAUGUGACUAAAACGAUUGUCAAGUAAAACCGAUAGUGGCAACAUGGAAGUAUUAACAUUUUCGUAAAAAAUCAAUUAAAAAUCGUUCUAAAUUUUUUAGAUUUUAGUCAGUUUUGUUCUAUCGAUUAAUGUAAUAACAAAGCUUUCUUCAUUUAAUUAUGCAAAUGAAAUUUCGGAUGGAUUGAGUUGAAAUCUGUUUCAACUUUACACCAACAGGUGGUAUUAAUGUGCAAUAUGUCAUUGUAGAAUUAAGAGACUAGAUCAACCAUCUCAAAUUCCCAAACUGAAUGCUGAAGCUUACAACGCGACAAAACACACCGAAACGAGUUAUCAAUUCAAUGUGACAAAUUGUACGUACUACAUUGCAAUAUUAGUUUGAUAAGCCGCAGUAGUUGUGAUAACCGUACUUCGAUAGUUUAUUGUAAGCGACGAUGAGAACAGCUAUGCACCAAGCGUAUAUUUUUUCAUUUGCUAUUUGCUCAAACAGUAUCACGAUUGCUUCAACUUGCUGUAGUUAAGUUUAAAAAAAAUAGUUGUUUUGUUAUUCCUUUUAAUUAAUUGUCAAUUCCUCCACAAUAUGUUAUCGUUACUUUUAGCAACAAUCUGUCAUUUUUCGUAUAGGAAAACACGUCUUAUUUAUAUAUACUAACCUAGUAAUCCCUCAACGAGUAGCCCAACUCUACGUAAGCUUAGUAACCCUUAAAUGUAGUUUGCUGCGAAACUGGCUCAAGACUUUUAUGUUUAAUUUUGCGACCGAACGCGAAACAAACAAUACUAGAAAGAAAUCAAAGUUCAACGACUGCAGCUGAAUCGUACGCGAAAGCGGAAACAAAAGUUUUAGGCAUUUUUUGUAGUACAGUAAUUGACGCUAGUUGUAAGAUGUAAAUAAAGUCUAAGAAGAUGAAAUACAAAAGCAUAUCUAUUUCCAUUACCAUUAAAGCGAAGCAGAAAAUUUGAAGAAGCAGUAAAUCAUUUUAACCUAAUAAUAGAUGCGUUAUGAAGUUAUAUAGUUAAAACAGUCAAAGUUGCAUGAUUGCAGAAUACAUUCCAAUUUUGAGGUUAGGUAGUGCAUUUCGAAGAUUCCACCGAACUUCGGUAACGGUAGAAGCGGUAGUUCGUCAGAAAUGUUGCGGUUUGUUGUGAAUUGUACGCUUGCCUGGUGGGAUAUUUUGUAGCAAAAAGAACAUAGCUGAAAUAUUA